RNAcentral lists this ribosomal RNA (856 nucleotides) under Priestia megaterium. RNAcentral describes it as "bacterial SSU rRNA". It matches the Rfam family "Bacterial small subunit ribosomal RNA", at positions 56 to 892 of the family's 1533-position model. Lineage: Bacteria; Bacillati; Bacillota; Bacilli; Caryophanales; Bacillaceae. The record is from RNAcentral.
UGCAAGUCGAGCGAACUGAUUAGAAGCUUGCUUCUAUAGACGUUAGCGGCGGACGGGUGAGUAACACGUGGGCAACCUGCCUGUAAGACUGGGAUAACUUCGGGAAACCGAAGCUAAUACCGGAUAGGAUCUUCUCCUUCAUGGGAGAUGAUUGAAAGAUGGUUUCGGCUAUCACUUACAGAUGGGCCCGCGGUGCAUUAGCUAGUUGGUGAGGUAACGGCUCACCAAGGCAACGAUGCAUAGCCGACCUGAGAGGGUGAUCGGCCACACUGGGACUGAGACACGGCCCAGACUCCUACGGGAGGCAGCAGUAGGGAAUCUUCCGCAAUGGACGAAAGUCUGACGGAGCAACGCCGCGUGAGUGAUGAAGGCUUUCGGGUCGUAAAACUCUGUUGUUAGGGAAGAACAAGUACGAGAGUAACUGCUCGUACCUUGACGGUACCUAACCAGAAAGCCACGGCUAACUACGUGCCAGCAGCCGCGGUAAUACGUAGGUGGCAAGCGUUAUCCGGAAUUAUUGGGCGUAAAGCGCGCGCAGGCGGUUUCUUAAGUCUGAUGUGAAAGCCCACGGCUCAACCGUGGAGGGUCAUUGGAAACUGGGGAACUUGAGUGCAGAAGAGAAAAGCGGAAUUCCACGUGUAGCGGUGAAAUGCGUAGAGAUGUGGAGGAACACCAGUGGCGAAGCGGCUUUUUGGUCUGUAACUGACGCUGAGGCGCGAAAGCGUGGGGAGCAAACAGGAUUAGAUACACUGGUACUCCACGCCAUAAACGAUGAGUGCUAAGUGUUAGAUGGUUUCCGCUCUUUAGUGCUGCAGCUAACGCAUUAAGCCCUCCGCCUGGGGAGCACGGACGCAAG